RNAcentral lists this ribosomal RNA (248 nucleotides) under uncultured bacterium. RNAcentral's name for it is "partial 16S ribosomal RNA". It matches the Rfam family "Bacterial small subunit ribosomal RNA", at positions 524 to 772 of the family's 1533-position model. The record is from RNAcentral.
UACGUAGGGUGCAAGCGUUAAUCGGAAUUACUGGCGUAAAGGCGUGCGCAGGCGGUUUUGUAAGUCUGUCGUGAAAUCCCCGGGCUCAACCUGGGAAUUGCGAUGGAGACUGCAAGGCUAGAAUCUGGCAGAGGGGGUAGAAUUCCAACGUGUGAGCAGUGAAAUGCGUAGAGAUGUGGAGGAACACCGAUGGCGAAGGCAGCCCCUGGGUCAAGAUUGACGCUCAUGCACGAAAGCGUGGGAGCAAC